AUUAGGUUGGUGCAAAAAUAAUUGAGGUCUUUCCAUUACUUCUAAUGGCAAAGACUGCAAUUACUUUUGCACCAACCUAAU
MicroRNA precursor from Colobus angolensis palliatus, 81 nucleotides. The record is from Ensembl. Lineage: Eukaryota; Metazoa; Chordata; Mammalia; Primates; Cercopithecidae.